Molecule: ribosomal RNA, 382 nt
Filed under: uncultured eukaryote
Lineage: Eukaryota
Description: partial 18S ribosomal RNA
Rfam family: Eukaryotic small subunit ribosomal RNA
Source: RNAcentral
CAAUAGCGUAUAUUAAAGUUGUUGCAGUUAAAAAGCUCGUAGUUGGAUUUCUGGAUGGAGCGACCGGUCGGGCAUUAAUUUGUCUGCACUGGAGUCGGUUCCGUCCAUCCUCUUGGAAAGUGCGUCGGGCAUUAAGUUGUUUGGCGUAUGAUCCAAGUCGUUUACUGUGAAAAAAUUAGAGUGUUUAAAGCAGGCCUUCGCCUUGAAUACAUUAGCAUGGAAUAAUAAGAUAGGACUUUGGUCUAUUUUGUUGGUUUGCAGACCGAAGUAAUGAUUAAUAGGGAUAGUUGGGGGUAUUUAUAUUCCGAUGUCAGAGGUGGAAUUCUUAGAUUUUUGGAAGAUAAACUUAUGCGAAAGCAUUUACCAAGGAUGUUUUCAUUAA